UGUUUAAUGAAAAAAUGACCAAGUGCUGCAUAAAAUCCUGCAAAAUUUCGCAGGUCGACGCUAAGAAGCAAAAUAGAGCAGUGAGUUUUCAUCAGCUACCGAAGGAACCCGCGGUACGCAAAAAAUGGCUCGCGUUCUGUGGCCGUAAGGAUGGAUCCGGCAUAUACGUGUGCUCCCAGCAUUCCGAAUUGACGGAGUUUGUCAAUGUUUAUAUGGAAAACGCAAAGAGGGUUCUUAUAAAAUCUGCUUGCCAUCCGUUCGUGCCCUCCAACUGAGUCUGCUCGAUCCAUCAGAGCUUAAGUGAGGAACCGGAAGCAAGUGGUCGAAGAACUUCUACAGAGAAAUGCAAACUUGGGGAUCAGUUGAAGUCAUCGCCCUCGAUUACAAUAAAGGAUCUUCUAAGAUGGUUAUUCAACGACGACGGAACAAUCCACGUAAACUGUAUUACGCACUGCAGCCCCGAUGAUGUUAUGACGUCAUCACUGUAAUACACACAAUGUUUACGUUUUUUCGAUCACCUAUACCACGGCAAACCGAGUUCAUCCACACCUCUACAUCUAGC
Uranotaenia lowii is the source of this 562-nucleotide long non-coding RNA. RefSeq lists it as uncharacterized. The transcript has 3 exons. The record is from RefSeq and is a predicted model, not a curated record. Lineage: Eukaryota; Metazoa; Arthropoda; Insecta; Diptera; Culicidae.